Molecule: ribosomal RNA, 459 nt
Filed under: uncultured bacterium
Lineage: Bacteria
Description: bacterial SSU rRNA
Rfam family: Bacterial small subunit ribosomal RNA
Source: RNAcentral
UACGGAAGGCAGCAGUGGGGAAUAUUGCACAAUGGGCGCAAGCCUGAUGCAGCCAUGCCGCGUGUAUGAAGAAGGCCUUCGGGUUGUAAAGUACUUUCAGCGGGGAGGAAGGCGGUGAAGUUAAUAGCUUCACCGAUUGACGUUACCCGCAGAAGAAGCACCGGCUAACUCCGUGCCAGCAGCCGCGGUAAUACGGAGGGUGCAAGCGUUAAUCGGAAUUACUGGGCGUAAAGCGCACGCAGGCGGUCUGUCAAGUCGGAUGUGAAAUCCCCCGGGCUUAACCUGGGAACUGCAUUCGAAACUGGCAGGCUAGAGUCUUGUAGAGGGGGUAGAAUUCCAGGUGUAGCGGUGAAAUGCGUAGAGAUCUGGAGGGAAUACCGGUGGCGAAGGGCGGGCCCCCUGGGACAAAGACUGACGCUCAGGGUGCGAAAGCGUGGGGAGCAAACAGGAUUAGAUAUC